Long non-coding RNA from Erpetoichthys calabaricus (reedfish), 432 nucleotides. RefSeq lists it as uncharacterized. The transcript is spliced from 5 exons. NCBI's taxonomy places the organism in Eukaryota, Metazoa, Chordata, Cladistia, Polypteriformes, Polypteridae. The record is from RefSeq and is a predicted model, not a curated record.
CCACUUGCAGAGCCACAGCACCAUACGUCACCGCAGUUUCAGACCCGCAGUUGUAGACCCGCAGUUUUAGACCCGGAAGUGACAUUACCAUUUCUAGGCAAGGCGAAAACAACGCCUCCAUUUAUCGAACACAACAAGUCUUAGUUUUUAGCACAAGCGCAGCAUUUUCGAGCACAAACAAAAUAUGACAGAAAACAGCACGUAACAUGACAAAACGAAUAUCUUCAGGCACAUGGAUACUAAUUAAAAACAGGAAUCUUCCACAGCAGUUGGUUGGGUCAGUGGAUUGUGGAGUAUUCAUGUUGAUGUAUGCUCUGCACCUUGUCUUGGAUGCGCCAUUUGACUUCACAGCUUGUGAUUUACCCUUGAUCAGGAGGUGCUGGUGCUUUAUUCUAUUGGAGAAUUUUGCUGUUGGAAGGUAUCUCUCUCUCU